UAUGGAUAAUCAAUUAAUAUUUAUUGACACAAUAUUGAUAUAAUAUACAUGCUAUCGUGAAAUAGAACCGGACGUGAUAAGAACUCAUUUCUUGUAUUCGUAAGCGUUUCUUAUUAUCUCGCGGCAGAAUGUCCAUUGUACAAUCAGCAAGAAGACUCAUACGUAAUAUAUUGCAUUAAAAUAUCAUUGCAACCGCAAUCUGGAAAGAUCCGACUCGGGACGAGUUAUUGGUUGCAAUUAAUUUGUAAAAGAGCAUUGAGUGACCACAAAUACUUUUUUUCUUCGGACAUUUAUUCGCACACCUAUAUUUGAAACAGAAAAAAAAGGAAAGAAGGAAAAGAAAAAAAAAAAAAGAAAGAUGAUCGAAGGACUAUGCGUGUCGGAUCAAAUUCGCCAGAAAAAUGCCUGUUACUAUUUUGUUGGAAAAAUCAAUGACAUCGAAUGCACGCAGAAUGCACGCUGAAUAUACGCUUCGAAUUGGUUCGGUAAAAGAAACAGACGAAGAAUUCAUAACGGCCAAUCAACGGGACAAAUUGAUAGUGAAAAGUCAAAUAAAUUGUUAUGUCUGUGAACGUGUAAAACUUCUUUUUUUUUAUGGCUUAUCGACAUCUGUGUAUAGUCUAAAUUUGUGAUUCGCAAUCGAUUAUCGUUCCUGUUUGAAAAUUGAAAAAAAAAAAAAAAAAGAAAAAAAAACAAAUAAAAAUAUUCGAUACGAAAAGCAAUAUGUUACGUAAAGAUUAACGACGAUUGAAAAUUAGUUAUAAUUGGCACAUAUAUAUAUAUAUUACAUUAUUAUAGUACACUAUUAUAAUAGACUAUAUAUAUCGUAACAAUUUACGUUAUAUUUAAUGUAAUUAAAUUGAAUCGUUGAAGCUGCGUAUAAACAAUAAAUCGAAUCGUACGAGUUAAGGAUGAUUAUACAGGCAAGCUUCCGCUAUUAGAACCAUGAUAAUGGCGGAAUAUUCUUUAGAGAUAAUUGCAUCGGUUUCAGGUAAUUAGCAGCCGAUGAAUAAUUAUUGCGAACGUAGUAGUUAGGAUAGGUUCGAUGAGCGUUCUCA
Long non-coding RNA from Vespa mandarinia (Asian giant hornet), 1058 nucleotides. NCBI's taxonomy places the organism in Eukaryota, Metazoa, Arthropoda, Insecta, Hymenoptera, Vespidae. The record is from RefSeq and is a predicted model, not a curated record.